Long non-coding RNA from Osmerus eperlanus (European smelt), 959 nucleotides. RefSeq lists it as uncharacterized. The record is from RefSeq and is a predicted model, not a curated record. The transcript is spliced from 3 exons. Lineage: Eukaryota; Metazoa; Chordata; Actinopteri; Osmeriformes; Osmeridae.
AGAGAGAGAGAGAGAGAGAGAGAGAGAGAGAGAGAGAGAGAGAGAGAGAGAGAGAGAGAGAGAGAGAGAGAGAGAGAGAGAGAGAGAGAGAGAGAGAGAGAGAGAGAGAGAGAGAGAGAGAGAGAGAGAGGUCAAAAGGAUCAGAAGCAUGAUGAGGUCUUCCUUCGGCUGGUGUGUAAACUCCGGUGUUUGUUUUUCUCUGGGUGGUGUGAACUCUCCUGGGCAGCCUGCUGGAGAGAGACAGGCCGUGUCCGAGCUGGGAGCCCCAGACCAGCAACCAGGAGUGGAAGCCGGGUGUCCUCCCAGACAUCUACUCCACACCAGAGAAGAAGUGCUCCACUGGAGGACUUCACCCUCUCCCUCGCCUGAACCAAUCAGAGCCCAGCCAGAGCACCAGUGCACUCCCUCCCCAGGCAGAGGGCCAUGGUUCCCCCCCUGUGGGUCCUGGGGAGGCACCACAGCUCUGCAGCCACCAUGAUGCUACGGAGACAGCAAGCAGGAGCCACACUCCAGUCCCCCUAUCCAUGGAGGACGUGUACGAGAGGAAUCCUUCCGGGGUGGUGCUUGCAGGGGGUCUGCUGUGGUGGAACUAUGCCAGGGAUGAAGAAAGCUGAGGGCUCCAAGAUGACGUCACCAGGACACACACCUCCGAUGAAGAUGACGCACAACGCUGCCCUUUAUUGCCCAUUUGAAAAGGACAUUUUUGAUGCCAGAUAAUAUUUCAUUUGGCAAGGAUCAUGAGUUCCUGAAUCUUUUCAAUUGCUCGGAUUGAGGUCUUAAAACAUAUUUUAACUGUAGACUAUAAGACUGCAUAAGAACAUACGUAUAUUAAAGCAAAUAAUCAAUUACCAAGGAACCUGUAAAUUUGGAUUUGACCAGUUUACUGUCAAUAUAAGAGUAUUUGGAAAAGAGAAACAUCUUACUUCACUGUCUCGGAUUAAAAAAUAUUUCAGAUUAUU